UAACCUACCUAUAAGACUGGGAUAACGUUACGGGAAACCGGAGCUAAUACCGGAUAAUAUAUUGAACCGCAUGGUUCAAUAGUGAAAGACGGUUUUGCUGUCACUUAUAGAUGGAUCCGCGCCGCAUUAGCUAGUUGGUAAGGUAACGGCUUACCAAGGCAACUAUGCGUAGCCGACCUGAGAGGGUGAUCGGCCACACUGGAACUGAGACACGGUCCAGACUCCUACGGGAGGCAGCAGCG
Molecule: ribosomal RNA, 242 nt
Filed under: uncultured Staphylococcus sp.
Lineage: Bacteria; Bacillati; Bacillota; Bacilli; Caryophanales; Staphylococcaceae
Description: partial 16S ribosomal RNA
Rfam family: Bacterial small subunit ribosomal RNA
Source: RNAcentral